This 85-nucleotide transfer RNA is filed under the name Prosthecobacter sp. Its description in RNAcentral is "tRNA-Leu". It matches the Rfam family "tRNA". Rfam says of the family: Transfer RNA (tRNA) molecules are approximately 80 nucleotides in length. Lineage: Bacteria; Pseudomonadati; Verrucomicrobiota; Verrucomicrobiia; Verrucomicrobiales; Verrucomicrobiaceae. The record is from RNAcentral. RNAcentral also lists the same sequence under 4 other names.
GCUCACGUGGCGGAAUUGGUAGACGCGCUAGAUUCAGGUUCUAGUAAGUAACAUUGUGCUGGUUCGAGUCCAGUCGUGAGCACCA